AUUGAACGCUGGCGGCAGGCUUAACACAUGCAAGUCGAGCGGGGAAAGGUAGCUUGCUACCUGACCUAGCGGCGGACGGGUGAGUAAUGCUUAGGAAUCUGCCUAUUAGUGGGGGACAACAUCUCGAAAGGGAUGCUAAUACCGCAUACGUCCUACGGGAGAAAGCAGGGGACCUUCGGGCCUUGCGCUAAUAGAUGAGCCUAAGUCGGAUUAGCUAGUUGGUGGGGUAAAGGCCUACCAAGGCGACGAUCUGUAGCGGGUCUGAGAGGAUGAUCCGCCACACUGGGACUAAGACACGGCCCAGACUCCUACGGGAGGCAGCAGUGGGGAAUAUUGGACAAUGGGGGGAACCCUGAUCCAGCCAUGCCGCGUGUGUGAAGAAGGCCUUUUGGUUGUAAAGCACGUUAAGCGAGGAGGAGGCUACCGAGAUUAAUACUCUUGGAUAGUGGACGUUACUCGCAGAAUAAGCACCGGCUAACUCUGUG
This 485-nucleotide ribosomal RNA is filed under the name uncultured bacterium. Its description in RNAcentral is "partial 16S ribosomal RNA". It matches the Rfam family "Bacterial small subunit ribosomal RNA", at positions 30 to 507 of the family's 1533-position model. The record is from RNAcentral.